UACAGAGGUCUCGAGCGCGGUUCGGAUUAAUUGGGCGUAAAAGGUGAGCAGGCGGUGUGGCAAGUCUGGUGUGAAAGCUUGGGGCUCAACCCCAAAAUUGCAUUGGAUACUGCCAUGCUUGCGGACUGUAGAGGAUAGUGGAAUUCACGGUGUAGUAGUGAAAGGCGUAGAUAUGGUGAGGAAGACCAGUUGCGAAAGCGACUCUCUGGGCAGUUUCUGACGCUCAUGCACGAAGGCCAGGGGAGCAAACGGG
Molecule: ribosomal RNA, 253 nt
Filed under: uncultured bacterium
Lineage: Bacteria
Description: partial 16S ribosomal RNA
Rfam family: Bacterial small subunit ribosomal RNA
Source: RNAcentral